UGAACUUGGGAUCCACCUGCCUCAACCUCUCAAAGUGCUGGUAUACAGGCAUGUGCCACCUCAACCGGCUGAUGCUGUGUGUGUGUGUUAACAACUUUGCAUGGAAAAACAAGGAGGCCUUUUGUCAGAGAGCUGCCCCUUGGCACCAUAAGCCCACCUCUCCUGCAAAGCUUAGAAGCUUCCUUUCCUAGAGCAUCUCCUUGGAAGUAUAACUUGACCCUUCUGAUUAAAUGAGAGAAUACACAAAACAAAAAUAACUAAAGUGCACUGCAACGUGUCUUCAAAAUCGAGCUGUCUACCGCUGCUUCAGGACUAGAUCAUUUAUCACUAGGUCAGAGAACUGUCUUCAUUGAUGAGCCAAUCAAAUUCAAGUUCAGCAAAUAAUUUUGGAGCAAAGAUGAGCAAAACAGGAGGCCCACAGAGGGAAUUACCAAUUUACAGGAAGACCAUCAGUAAUACAUGGAAAUCAGGAC
Molecule: long non-coding RNA, 473 nt
Filed under: Heterocephalus glaber (naked mole-rat)
Lineage: Eukaryota; Metazoa; Chordata; Mammalia; Rodentia; Bathyergidae
Description: lncRNA (ENSHGLG00000042423.1)
Source: RNAcentral